RNAcentral lists this long non-coding RNA (1027 nucleotides) under Cyanistes caeruleus (blue tit). RNAcentral describes it as "lncRNA (ENSCCEG00000017115.1)". The record is from RNAcentral. Lineage: Eukaryota; Metazoa; Chordata; Aves; Passeriformes; Paridae.
UGUGCGUGCAAAAGCCGGGUUUCCCCCCAGAGCUUGUACUCCGAAACUUCGCUAUUCGGUGAAAUUCUGAGCACCAGGAAGCUUUGGUUUUUCCAGGAAGGCGUGAAUAUUCUGGGGUUUUUUUCACAUUUUCAGGGAAGGAUUAACGUGAGAGCUCCGGGUACUGUGUUUAGGUCUUAUUUUGUUGUAAAUGGUUAAUUUGGCAGGAUCUGUGGUUUAUUGCUCUAAGUGCAGUGAGCCUGGAAUAAAUGGAAUGGUUCUCAUUGAAUAGAAAAGUUCAAGAUCGCUACUCAUUCUAUCAGAUAAUCUUUCAAGUACCAGCAAUUUUUAUUUGUAUGUAUUUCCUUAUAACCUCUAUAAGGUAACUAAGCUGAGCAUGGAUAUUAUGUUUCUGUAAAACUGUUCAUUUUUCAGACGGAAGAACAAAUACAAUUAGGGUUUUUUUGUAUUUACCAAGUAAUUAGGUGCAGAUGUUUUUGCACUGCCACUUCAAAAGUCACCUUGCUCUGUCAAGGUUAUGAUGUGUCCACCAAGCAAUGAAGAUAAAAUAAAAUUCUGCAAAGAGUCUGAGAGUUUUUAAUGUCCUCUUGGCUUAAAAUGAGUUGGGAUUGUUUGGUGGUAAUUUUUCUUUCUUUUAUCCUUAAACAUAUUAAAGAGAAAAAUGAAAAUAACUUAUUUUGAUUAUCUAAAUGCUCCUUUUACAAAAGGGGACGCUUUAGAACGCUUGUCUACAAAAAGAAGUGAGCUGAAACAUUGUGCUAAUAGGAUUUGCAGCAUAAAAUAUGGCUAAUUUCUCUUGUAUGACUACAGGUGGCAGUGUAGAAGCCAAGAACAAAAAUUGGCAGAAAUUGUGUUCUGUGUACGAGAAUAUGAAGAGUGUACUCAUGACUAAGCACAGGAACCUGGAAAACCACAGGAUUGUAUUGAAAAUGGUUUGUGGGAACCUGAGGAAUGGAUUAGAGAUGCUGAAUGGAAGGCAGAGAAGUUAUUAACAUUUCCCAAAAUAAAUAAAUACUUUAACCUUUCA